RNAcentral lists this transfer RNA (69 nucleotides) under Dallia pectoralis (Alaska blackfish). RNAcentral's name for it is "tRNA-OTHER". The record is from RNAcentral. Lineage: Eukaryota; Metazoa; Chordata; Actinopteri; Esociformes; Umbridae.
GUUGGUAGAUCAGUGGUAGAGUGCAUGCUUUGUGUUUAUGAUGUCCUGGGAUCAAAUCCCAGCUGCACC